This 335-nucleotide ribosomal RNA is filed under the name Agaricus litoralis. Its description in RNAcentral is "partial large subunit ribosomal RNA". Lineage: Eukaryota; Fungi; Basidiomycota; Agaricomycetes; Agaricales; Agaricaceae. The record is from RNAcentral.
GGCUGUCCGAGUUGUAAUCUAGAGAAGUAAUGCCCGUGCUGGACCGUGUAYAAGUCUCCUGRGAUGGGGCGUCAUAGAGGGUGAGAAUCCCGUCUUUGACASGGAUUACCAGUGCAUUGUGGUAUGCUCUCAAAGAGUCGAGUUGUUUGGGAAUGCAGCUCAAAAUGGGUGGUAAAUUCCAUCUAAAGCUAAAUAUUGGCGAGAGACCGAUAGCGAACAAGUACCGUGAGGGAAAGAUGAAAAGAACUUUGGAAAGAGAGUUAAACAGUACGUGAAAUUGCUGAAAGGGAAACGCUUGAAGUCAGUCGCGUUGGCCGGGGAUCAGCCUUGCUUUU